RNAcentral lists this transfer RNA (77 nucleotides) under Candidatus Kerfeldbacteria bacterium. Its description in RNAcentral is "tRNA-Val". Lineage: Bacteria; Candidatus Kerfeldiibacteriota. The record is from RNAcentral.
GGUCGCAUAGCUCAGUUGGUUAGAGCGCGCCGUUCACAUCGGCGAGGUCCCUGGUCCGAGUCCAGGUGCGACCACCA